Dothistroma septosporum NZE10 is the source of this 67-nucleotide transfer RNA. It matches the Rfam family "tRNA". Rfam says of the family: Transfer RNA (tRNA) molecules are approximately 80 nucleotides in length. The record is from Rfam. NCBI's taxonomy places the organism in Eukaryota, Fungi, Ascomycota, Dothideomycetes, Mycosphaerellales, Mycosphaerellaceae.
AGCAGCGCAGCGGAAGCGCGUCGGGCUCAUAACCCGAAGGUCCUUGGAUCGAAACCAAGGGAAGCUA